GCCGCAGCUGCCUAGCAGCGUUUGCGGCAGCCGUGGCUGGCCAGCAGUUCUUCUUCUUCGGCACCUCCCCAUCGUGGGGGCGGAGGUAUUCCCGGCGGCGUGGAAGGGGGCGGGACCGAGGCGGCCGCGGGAGGGGGCUCGGAAAGGGGCGGGCCGUGGCUGCCGGUGGCCGCAGUGGGCCAGCUGUUCCUCUUCUUCGGCACCUCCCUACCAUGGGGGCGAGGGCAUUUCCGGCAGCACAGAAGGGGGCGGGGCCGUGGAAGCCACAGAAGAGGGCUUGGGAGGUUGCAGGCGCAGGAGGGGGCUUGGGAGGGGCCGAGUUGUGGCCGGCGGCGACCUUUUUCUUCUCC
RNAcentral lists this long non-coding RNA (350 nucleotides) under Phoenix dactylifera (date palm). RNAcentral's name for it is "long non-coding RNA (PDAC_LNC008674)". The record is from RNAcentral. Lineage: Eukaryota; Viridiplantae; Streptophyta; Magnoliopsida; Arecales; Arecaceae.